UCUCCGUAGGUGAACCUGCGGAGGGAUCAUUACAGAGUUCAUGCCCUACCGGGUCGAUCUCCCACCCUAUGUUAUUAUUACUUUGUUGCUUUGGCGGGCCGUUAGGCUCCGGCCCGACUACCGGCCCCGGCUGGUAAGCGCCCGCCAGAGGACCCAAAACCCUGAAUAUUAGUGUCGUCUGAGUACUAUAUAGUAGUUAAAACUUUCAACAACGGAUCUCUUGGUUCUG
RNAcentral lists this unclassified non-coding RNA (229 nucleotides) under plant metagenome. RNAcentral's name for it is "partial contains small subunit ribosomal RNA, internal transcribed spacer 1, and 5.8S ribosomal RNA". The record is from RNAcentral.